ACCAAGUUUUGAUUACCUUG
This 20-nucleotide unclassified non-coding RNA is filed under the name Dictyostelium discoideum. The record is from RNAcentral. Lineage: Eukaryota; Evosea; Eumycetozoa; Dictyosteliales; Dictyosteliaceae.